CACCUGGCUUACCUUUUCAGUCAUGUGUCAUUGCUUGUAUCGCAUUGAAUGCAUGGUGGGUUUCUUGUGUUGCAUGCCUAAUUGAUGGUAUCAUUUGAAGAAUUGAUGUCCCUUUUCAUCUUGUGUCGCACAUGCGAUGUGAGAUGAACCUUGAAGUAGCCUUUGUGAUCCACUCUUUCGAUGUACACGCAUUGAUUUUGUGGCCCACUGUGUGUUGCUUGGUCUCAUGGAUAUGGAACCUGGUGUGGGCAUGGGAUCUUUACUAUUUCCUUGUUUGCCCUGGUUUACCUUUCCUAAUA
This 299-nucleotide unclassified non-coding RNA is filed under the name Leontopodium leontopodioides. Its description in RNAcentral is "partial contains external transcribed spacer and 18S ribosomal RNA". Lineage: Eukaryota; Viridiplantae; Streptophyta; Magnoliopsida; Asterales; Asteraceae. The record is from RNAcentral.